RNAcentral lists this ribosomal RNA (372 nucleotides) under uncultured bacterium. Its description in RNAcentral is "bacterial SSU rRNA". It matches the Rfam family "Bacterial small subunit ribosomal RNA", at positions 525 to 896 of the family's 1533-position model. The record is from RNAcentral.
ACGAAGGUGGCGAGCGUUGUUCGGAAUCACUGGGCAUAAAGGGCGCGUAGGCGGUCCCUUAAGUCGGAUGUGAAAGCCCCCGGCCCAACCGGGGAACUGCGUCCGAUACUGAGGGACUUGAGGGUCGGAGAGGUGCAUGGAAUUCCUGGUGGAGCGGUGAAAUGCGUUGAUAUCAGGAGGAACACCGGAGGCGAAGGCGAUGCACUGGUCGAUCUCUGACGCUGAGGCGCGAAAGCCAGGGGAGCAAACGGGAUUAGAUACCCCGGUAGUCCUGGCCGUAAACGGUGGGCACUAGGUAGGAGGAAACCUAACUUCUUCCUGCUGCCGCAAAUGCAUUAAGUGCCCCGCCUGGGGAGUAUGGUCGCAAGGCUG